UGACCUCUCGUGGUCUCACCACAUCCUACUCCUACCGCGUCGUUCGCCGUCCCGCCGUUCCUCCCGCAAUCGUUAGCCGCCGGAGCCGCCGCCCAUCGCGCCCUUCGCCGCGGAAGAGCCGGAGCCGCCGCCCCAUCGCGCGCCGCGGGAGCCACCGCAGGUCGCGGCCCUUCGCCGCAGGAGAGCCGGAGCUGCUGCCCGUCGCGCGUCGCGGGAGCCGCCGCAGGUCACGGCCCUUCGCCGCGGGAUAGCCGGAGCCGCUGCCCAUCGCGCGCCGCGGGAGCCGCCGCAGGAGAGCCAGAGCCGCCGCCCAUCACGCCCUUCGCCGCGGGAGCCAGAGCCACCCGUUGCGCCCUUCAUCGUAGAUCCUCACGCUCGCCUCCACCAGGCACAUGGUCUCCAAUCGUCAAGACGCCCGACCCUCCUCGGCUGCUACUGCUGCAGCCGGCACCACUUUCCUUAUCUCGACCCAGUCCCUGCGAGGAACCCAUCUACGUGCCGACCAGUCCAAGGAACUCACAUCACCUCCAUCAAGGAAAACAAUGACCUAUGUGAUUAGAAGUAUGUGCUUGCUUCUUCAUGAAGAGCCAAAAAAGAAGUAUAGACGUUGAUGCAACUGUAUAGAGCAUGGUCACCAACAGAUCCACACAUUUGGUCAGUGAUGAACUAAUGCAACCUAUUAGUACAUGAGUGGGAGGGGAGGAUAUUCGAUCUGAGUAUGUCAGAUAGGAGGAGCAAGACGGAAUUAAUAAGGCAAGAAUUAUUUUCCUUUUAGUUUGGCUCUCUGUUGCUUCAUGAUGAUAUUAUCUAACUGAUGAACAUGGAACAUUGUACGGGACUGAUGAAAGAGUUCUUUCGCUUCACCAGGCAUGAAACUUUUGACCCAUCCCUGCAAUGUAUUUUCAUAGUGCCCUUGUAUAAGUAAAUGGAGGGAGUAUUACUGAAACCAAGUAUCAAUCUGAGACUGGUUGUUUUUUUAUUGUGGUCUGACAAGACUUAAAUAUUCUGCAUUAGUUUUUUAUAUCUGCAGAGUGUGCACAUGACUUUCUUCCCUGCCUUUACUUAUUAAUGAAAAAUAAACAACAAUGCAUGAUAUCUUUACUAAAUUAAUAACACUAAGUAGGAAUUCAGAACAAUAACGCAUUAAUAACAACGGGUAGGAAUUCUGAAUAAAAAUAUUACAUGAGAAAUAUGGCAUGCACCUUAACAUAGAAAUGUCCUUUUCAAUUGCUCAGAUGUUAAUGUUGCAAAUGUUCUUUUCCUGUUCUCUUAAUAAUGGUUUUAGAUGGAGAGCUGCGCCCAUGUUGUAUGCCAACAUUGGUCCUUAGAUUAGUCAAUUUUUGUCGCAGCAUAUGUUCUCUAUAGAUUUUUUAAAGGUCUAUGGAAUUUCAUCUGCAAGCUUUUGAUCCUAAUGGCUACAUCCUUAUAAAGCUAUUUCUUGUUUGUAAGAUGAAUAUUGUCUAUGUCAAGACUCAAGACUCAAGAGAAGCAAGAGUGCAUAGGAGUGGCAGUUGUUCAACCAAGGAUGGUCAGAGGGUAUUACAAGGAGCGAGAGAGAUACAUGGAAGGAGAGAUUACGUAGCAAGGCACAGGGCACACAGGACGCAAAGUGUCACAUAUGGGCUACCGGGCGAAAACAGUCGACCCAAGCAAGGCCCUCGUGGCAGUGGUCAGCACGUUUAGAUCAUAAAUCAUAUGUGUUCUUAUUUUAUGGCUAAUUAGCUAAACACAGUUGCUACAUAGUGGUUCCACUUGCUGACAACGGUGAGGUGCAACAGAGAUUGCCCUAAGAUACACAAAUAUAUUGUUGAAUAUAUCAAAGUUGUCUCGAGCUAACUCUUCUAACUUCUGCAAUAGCCAAUAUACAUGGCAUGUUGUUCUCCAGACAGAGGUCAAUUCAUUUUUUGA
Molecule: long non-coding RNA, 1908 nt
Organism: Triticum dicoccoides
Lineage: Eukaryota; Viridiplantae; Streptophyta; Magnoliopsida; Poales; Poaceae
Exons: 6
Source: RefSeq, a predicted model, not a curated record